UACGUAGGGUGCGAGCGUUAAUCGGAAUUACUGGGCGUAAAGUGUGCGCAGGCGGCGUUGCAAGUCGAGUGUGAAAGCCCCGGGCUUAACUUGGGAAUUGCGCUCGAAACUACGAUGCUGGAGUGUGGCAGAGGAAGGUGGAAUUCCACGUGUAGCGGUGAAAUGCGUAGAGAUGUGGAGGAACACCGAUGGCGAAGGCAGCCUUCUGGGCCAACACUGACGCUCAUGCACGAAAGCGUGGGGAGCAAACAGG
This 253-nucleotide ribosomal RNA is filed under the name uncultured bacterium. RNAcentral's name for it is "partial 16S ribosomal RNA". It matches the Rfam family "Bacterial small subunit ribosomal RNA", at positions 524 to 776 of the family's 1533-position model. RNAcentral also lists the same sequence under 1 other name. The record is from RNAcentral.